AUUGAACGCUGGCGGCAGGCCUAACACAUGCAAGUCGAGCGGAUGAAGGGAGCUUGCUCCUGGAUUCAGCGGCGGACGGGUGAGUAAUGCCUAGGAAUCUGCCUGGUAGUGGGGGAUAACGUCUGGAAACGGGCGCUAAUACCGCAUACGUCCUGAGGGAGCAAGUGGGGGAUCUUCGGACCUCACGCUAUCAGAUGAGCCUAGGUCGGAUUAGCUAGUUGGUGGGGUAAAGGCCUACCAAGGCGACGAUCCGUAACUGGUCUGAGAGGAUGAUUAGUCACACUGGAACUGGAACACGGACCAUGCUCCUACGGUAGGCAGCAGUGGGGAAUAUUGGACAAUGGGCGAAAGCCUGAUCCAGCCAUGCCGCGUGUGUGAAGAAGGUCUUCGGAGUGUAAAGCACUUUAAGUUGGGAUAAAGGGCAGUAAGUUAAUACCUUGCUGGUUUGACGUUACCAACAGAAUAAGCACCGGCUAACUUCGUG
This 484-nucleotide ribosomal RNA is filed under the name uncultured bacterium. Its description in RNAcentral is "partial 16S ribosomal RNA". It matches the Rfam family "Bacterial small subunit ribosomal RNA", at positions 30 to 507 of the family's 1533-position model. The record is from RNAcentral.